AAGACUAUAGACCUGCGGAGUACCUGCGGAGGGAUCAUUACCGAGUUUACAACUCCCAAACCCAAUGUGAACGUUACCAAACUGUUGCCUCGGCGGGGUCACGCCCCGGGUGCGUCGCAGCCCCGGAACCAGGCGCCCGCCGGAGGAACCAACCAAACUCUUUCUGUAGUCCCCUCGCGGACGUUAUUUCUUACAGCUCUGAGCAAAAAUUCAAAAUGAAUCAAAACUUUUAACAAUGGA
RNAcentral lists this unclassified non-coding RNA (240 nucleotides) under soil metagenome. Its description in RNAcentral is "partial contains 5.8S ribosomal RNA, internal transcribed spacer 2, and large subunit ribosomal RNA". The record is from RNAcentral.